GACGAACGCUGGCGGCGUGCCUAAUACAUGCAAGUCGAACGCAUUUUCUUUCACCGUAGCUUGCUACACCGAAAGAAAAUGAGUGGCGAACGGGUGAGUAACACGUGGGUAACCUGCCCAUCAGCGGGGGAUAACACUUGGAAACAGGUGCUAAUACCGCAUAAUUCCAUUUACCGCAUGGUAGAUGGGUGAAAGGCGCUUUUGCGUCACUGAUGGAUGGACCCGCGGUGCAUUAGCUAGUUGGUGGGGUAACGGCCUACCAAGGCUGCGAUGCAUAGCCGACCUGAGAGGGUGAUCGGCCACACUGGGACUGAGACACGGCCCAGACUCCUACGGGAGGCAGCAGUAGGGAAUCUUCGGCAAUGGACGCAAGUCUGACCGAGCAACGCCGCGUGAGUGAAGAAGGUUGUCGGAUCGUAAAACUCUGUUGUUAGAGAAGAACAAGGAUGAGGGUGGAAAGUUCAUCCCUUGACGGUAUCUAACCAGAAAGCCACGGCUAACUACGUG
Molecule: ribosomal RNA, 507 nt
Filed under: uncultured bacterium
Lineage: Bacteria
Description: partial 16S ribosomal RNA
Rfam family: Bacterial small subunit ribosomal RNA
Source: RNAcentral